Long non-coding RNA from Pseudophryne corroboree (corroboree frog), 351 nucleotides. RefSeq lists it as uncharacterized. NCBI's taxonomy places the organism in Eukaryota, Metazoa, Chordata, Amphibia, Anura, Myobatrachidae. The record is from RefSeq and is a predicted model, not a curated record. The transcript is spliced from 3 exons.
GCUUUCUGGUGAUCAAGCUGUGUGUAGAUACUGAGACAUCACAACGCAUGGCUGCACAUGGAGAAGGAACCAGGCUGAUCUUGAAAAAAUCUUCUAAGGAAUCAAAGGAAUCCCCUAAGAAAGGACAAAAUCUAGUGAUCACUGUGUCCAUCUCUGCUUCCCUCAAACUGGUCAUCAUAUGUGUCAUGUUUAUCUACAUAAAGACAACAGGACCAUGAGCAGAUGUAUGGAGGGCAUCAGCACCACAAGACUUUAAGAGCUUUCAGGCAUGCAGCCAAGAUGGAGAUAUGUCGCCACUGUAUAUAUGAGGGCAUCAGUUCUAGUCUGUAAACCUCAACAAUAUAUAUUUGA